AGUCGAGCGGAACGACACUAACAAUCCUUCGGGUGCGUUAAUGGGCGUCGAGCGGCGGACGGGUGAGUAAUGCCUAGGAAAUUGCCUUGAUGUGGGGGAUAACCAUUGGAAACGAUGGCUAAUACCGCAUAAUGCCUACGGGCCAAAGAGGGGGACCUUCGGGCCUCUCGCGUCAAGAUAUGCCUAGGUGGGAUUAGCUAGUUGGUGAGGUAAUGGCUCACCAAGGCGACGAUCCCUAGCUGGUCUGAGAGGAUGAUCAGCCACACUGGAACUGAGACACGGUCCAGACUCCUACGGGAGGCAGCAGUGGGGAAUAUUGCACAAUGGGCGAAAGCCUGAUGCAGCCAUGCCGCGUGUAUGAAGAAGGCCUUCGGGUUGUAAAGUACUUUCAGUUGUGAGGAAGGGGGUGGUGUUAAUAGCGGUAUCUCUUGACGUUAGCAACAGAAGAAGCACCGGCUAACUCCGUGCCAGCAGCCGCGGUAAUACGGAGGGUGCGAGCGUUAAUCGGAAUUACUGGGCGUAAAGCGCAUGCAGGUGGUUCAUUAAGUCAGAUGUGAAAGCCCGGGGCUCAACCUCGGAACUGCAUUUGAAACUGGUGAACUAGAGUACUGUAGAGGGGGGUAGAAUUUCAGGUGUAGCGGUGAAAUGCGUAGAGAUCU
RNAcentral lists this ribosomal RNA (659 nucleotides) under Vibrio sp. AU519_Ted1_ASWanaero. RNAcentral's name for it is "bacterial SSU rRNA". It matches the Rfam family "Bacterial small subunit ribosomal RNA", at positions 60 to 699 of the family's 1533-position model. Lineage: Bacteria; Pseudomonadati; Pseudomonadota; Gammaproteobacteria; Vibrionales; Vibrionaceae. The record is from RNAcentral.